This is a long non-coding RNA of Nothobranchius furzeri (turquoise killifish), 2286 nucleotides long. RefSeq lists it as uncharacterized. NCBI's taxonomy places the organism in Eukaryota, Metazoa, Chordata, Actinopteri, Cyprinodontiformes, Nothobranchiidae. The record is from RefSeq and is a predicted model, not a curated record.
CAAACUGACUGAGCUCUAGUUAAGGCUCUUGCAAUUGUUUGUGUAUGUGUACGUGCGUGCGUGUGAGUGUAUGUGUUUGGGGGAGGGUACAUUGGAACUUUGUCCCCCCCGUUAGAAAAUCCUAUCUGCGCCCUUGCUAGUACGCGUAGAUAAUGGUUUGGUAAAUGAAUGGAGACACGCUGUGUGAUAAAUGACGGAUAAACACAGAAGAAACGAUAUGACUUCGUUUAUGAUCUUUUAUCUCCAGUACCAGCACCUCCCGACUAGGUUUAAUAGACAUAAACACGACUGGAUGCACAAGGGUGGAGCUAAAGGCUGUUAGCUGUAGCUAGCUCAAUGUAAACAACACACGUCACGUUAUUAGUCCGUGAUGAGGACAGUCACGUUGUUGGGGCGGAACUACAGCGGUCAACAUUUUGCACGUGGGCGUAUUAAGAGGAGUGAAUAACUUUCAGUCCUGUUGUUUACAGGUGAGAGGGUUACCUUUACGGAGAAAAGCAUCAAACUGACGCAGAGCUGACGCGUUGCUUCCGCUCUCCUGAGACACCGUGGGGAUCCGGACUGCCUCUGGGUGGAAAAAACAUCAGAUCCCGUCUUUGAGAGGCCGGCAGCAGCGAGCCAGCUGAAGUCCCGCGUUUACGUCCAGGGAGAAAGUCCUGAUGGCCGCUAUGGAGAAUAACACGAAUGCAGCCAGGAGCAAGCUGCAAACAGCAAGCUUCACAAUCCAGAUUGUACUCAUCUUUGACUCUGUCAUGGUAGCGUGUGGUGGGAGCAGGUAGCAGACAGACAGACAGACGGGGUUUGUGCUGGGUAGACUGGAGCCACCUGCUGGUCCACUCAUAUUUAACCCUAAACCUCUAAAUGGCACGUGGAGCUAUAAUAAAAUGAAGGUUUUUAAAUGUCUUCAGAGUAGAGAAUAACAAUCUGCCUCCAACACUGACUCAGUGUUUACUAACCAUUAUUCCAAAACCAAAGACCCAAUUAAUUAAUAACUAAAGAUCAAUAUGAUUGGAAACUGGUGGUUUUAAUACUUGCCUAAAUGAUUGAAAACAUUUUGGACACAGAUAUUGAUAAGAUGCAAGCAGGCUUUAUCAGAAAUAGACAUUUCUCUAAUAAUGUUGGACUAGUUUUAUUUCUACCUUUGAACUGGUGCCUGAUGACAGUUUUAUAAGAUCUCCUAUUUAAAAACAGACCAACUUUGGUGCAGAGUGGACUCCUACUGGAAAGCUGCUCAGCUGCAACCAAUUCCUCUCAAAAUACAGCUUUCCUGUCAGCAUGGACGCAAUUUGGGGGGGGGGGGGGGGGCAUGCCCCCCCCCCCCACACACACACACACACACUUUUUCCAAAGUCAAGUUUUGACCCCUGAACUUUUUACCAUCCAAAAACAGAAUUAUGCUGUAUUAAAUUGACACUGGUUGAGCUCUAGGACCAAGCGGAAAACAACCGUUUGUGUUGAAGCCUGUUUCCCAUUAGAGCAUAAUGUAAAGAUACCCCCCCCCCCCCCCCACACACACACACACACACACACACACACACACUUCUAAAGUGAAAAUUACAUCCAUGCCCGUCAGUCCCCAGGAAUCAUCAAUGGUGCUGAAUGCCAUGCCCCCAGGAACUUUAAUGCUGUUAAAACGGUGAUAAUUUGCCACCUACACAACUAACACUGCAGGUCCAACUUAAUCAGCAGUGGGGAGAUUUUGCUUUAUACAAGAACAGCAAUGAACAAGUGCAGGUUGUUCCAAAAAGCUACCGUUUCACAGGGAACAUCGCUAUGUUCUGGAUAUCAACUGGAAGGCAGUAUGGAUGAUGCCCAAUAAAUAUUUAAUAAAGCAAACAAAGAAAAUUCUUCAUGAAAUUUACCCUGCAAAGUAAUAUGUAUGGUAAAAUUUAAGAGACGUUUAAGAAACUAACUCGUCUUUUUUGGUACUGCCUUAUCACACAAAGGUUUUAAGACAAGUUUUAUUAUUCAUAUUUUUAAGGAAAAUGUGUUACUUUUAUUAAAGUCCCAAAAGUAUUUUUCUAAAACUUAAUUCUCUUAAAUUCUAUAUCCAUAAAUUUAAAUUUGCUAGUAAGAUACCAUAUUUUCCUCCUUUUUUUAAAGAUGCAAAACUAUUUAAUUUCACACUUGAACAAAAAGAUCCUCAAACAAGUGAUGUUUGUGGAUCUUUGCAUAUAUUUGAAUAAUUAAGCCCCCUGGUUGAAUGUUAACAUGUAUUCUACUGUAUUGUAUAUUUGUUCUGUUGAUGUAUAGUUCCUCUUUGCUAAAUAAAAAAAACAUUUUUAA